This 468-nucleotide ribosomal RNA is filed under the name uncultured bacterium. Its description in RNAcentral is "partial 16S ribosomal RNA". It matches the Rfam family "Bacterial small subunit ribosomal RNA", at positions 28 to 507 of the family's 1533-position model. The record is from RNAcentral.
GACGAACGCUGGCGGCGUGCUUAACACAUGCAAGUCGAACGGAAAGGCCCUGAUUUUGUGGGGUGCUCGAGUGGCGAACGGGUGAGUAACACGUGAGUAACCUGCCCUUGACUUUGGGAUAACUUCAGGAAACUGGGGCUAAUACCGGAUAGGAGCUCCUGCUGCAUGGUGGGGGUUGGAAAGUUGCGGCGGUUGUGGAUGGACGCGCGGCUUAUCAGCUUGUUGGUGGGGUAGUGGCUUACCAAGGCUUUGACGGGUAGCCGGCCUGAGAGGGUGACCGGCCACAUUGGGACUGAGGGACGGCCCAGACGCCAACGGGAGGCAGCAGUGGGGAAUAUUGCACAAUGGGCGGAAGCCUGAGGCAGCGACGCCGCGGGCGGGAUGCCGGCCUUUGGGGUGUAAACCGCAUUCGCCUGUGACGAAGCGGGAGUGACGGUAAUGGGUAAAGAAGCACCGGCUAACUACGUG